RNAcentral lists this ribosomal RNA (468 nucleotides) under uncultured bacterium. RNAcentral describes it as "partial 16S ribosomal RNA". It matches the Rfam family "Bacterial small subunit ribosomal RNA", at positions 28 to 507 of the family's 1533-position model. The record is from RNAcentral.
GACGAACGCUGGCGGCGUGCUUAACACAUGCAAGUCGAACGGAAAGGCCCUGCUUUUGUGGGGUGCUCGAGUGGCGAACGGGUGAGUAACACGUGAGUAACCUGCCCUUGACUUUGGGAUAACUUCAGGAAACUGGGGCUAAUACCGGAUAGGAGCUCCUGCUGCAUGGUGGGGGUUGGAAAGUUUCGGCGGUUGGGGAUGGACUCGCGGCUUAUCAGCUUGUUGGUGGGGUAGUGGCUUACCAAGGCUUUGACGGGUAGCCGGCCUGAGAGGGUGACCGGGCACAUUGGGACUGAGGUACGGCGCAGACUGCUACGGGAGGCAGCAGUGGGGAAUAUUGCACAAUGGGCGGAAGCCUGAUGCAGCAACGCCGCGUGCGGGAUGACGGCCUUCGGGUUGUAAACCGCUUUCGCCUGUGACGAAGCGUGAGUGACGGUAAUGGGUAAAGAAGCACCGGCUAACUACGUG